Molecule: ribosomal RNA, 506 nt
Filed under: uncultured bacterium
Lineage: Bacteria
Description: partial 16S ribosomal RNA
Rfam family: Bacterial small subunit ribosomal RNA
Source: RNAcentral
AGUGAACGCUGGCGGUAGGCCUAACACAUGCAAGUCGAACGGCAGCACAGGGGAGCUUGCUCUCUGGGUGGCGAGUGGCGGACGGGUGAGGAAUACAUCGGAAUCUACUUUUUCGUGGGGGAUAACGUAGGGAAACUUACGCUAAUACCGCAUACGACCUACGGGUGAAAGCAGGGGACCUUCGGGCCUUGCGCGAUUGAAUGAGCCGAUGUCGGAUUAGCUAGUUGGCGGGGUAAAGGCCCACCAAGGCGACGAUCCGUAGCUGGUCUGAGAGGAUGAUCAGCCACACUGGAACUGAGACACGGUCCAGACUCCUACGGGAGGCGGCAGUGGGGAAUAUUGGACAAUGGGCGCAAGCCUGAUCCAGCCAUACCGCGUGGGUGAAGAAGGCCUUCGGGUUGUAAAGCCCUUUUGUUGGGAAAGAAAUCCAGCUGGCUAAUACCCGGUUGGGAUGACGGUACCCAAAGAAUAAGCACCGGCUAACUUCGUGCCAGCCGCCGCAGUAA